GGGACUGUGACUUUAUGACAGUUUGAUUUAUAUAUUAUUGAGAAAGUUUUGUCACAGGCAGAACAAUCAGUAGCCUGCACCGACAAUCACGUACCCGAUGCGCGACACCAACACUGACAGCGACAGUGACACCUCGAGCGCGCGCCCCACUCCCGACUUAUAGACUCCGAUGCCGGGGACACGUUACGCAUACCCAGCAGCCGGCAUUGAAUUGAAAUUCAUUUUUAAUGCGCACUCGAUGGCAUCAGUAUAAGUUACCGAAAGGAAGCUGCAGUCACACCGAUCCCGGUUCCACCAUAGUACUGGGACCCCGCCAAGUAUCACUUCCAGCAGCGUAACCCAUAACCCCUAGUUCCAUCUUAGAAAGUGAGGAUGCCUUCGCUCGUUAACAGUCGUGCUGCUGCCCCGAUUCCUCCCCCAAUCGCUGUCUCGACCCACUCUCUGAGUUACUUUUUGGCAUGGAAAUUAAUUAAAAAAGUUUUCAAUCAGUCUUCGAAUGUGUCAGUGGCGUGAAAAGGAGA
RNAcentral lists this small RNA (521 nucleotides) under Drosophila pseudoobscura pseudoobscura. RNAcentral describes it as "GA32829". The record is from RNAcentral. Lineage: Eukaryota; Metazoa; Arthropoda; Insecta; Diptera; Drosophilidae.